Molecule: ribosomal RNA, 559 nt
Filed under: Arthrobotrys conoides
Lineage: Eukaryota; Fungi; Ascomycota; Orbiliomycetes; Orbiliales; Orbiliaceae
Description: SSU rRNA
Rfam family: Eukaryotic small subunit ribosomal RNA
Source: RNAcentral
GCUUUUUGCUACACAUCCAGGAGGCAGCAGGCGCGCAAAUUACCCAAUCCCAAUUCGGGGAGGUAGUGACAAUAAAUACUGAUACAGGGCUCUUUUGGGUCUUGUAAUUGGAAUGAGUACAAUUUAAAUCCCUUAACGAGGAACAAUUGGAGGGCAAGUCUGGUGCCAGCAGCCGCGGUAAUUCCAGCUCCAAUAGCGUAUAUUAAAGUUGUUGCAGUUAAAAAGCUCGUAGUUGAACCUUGGGUCUGGCUGCUCGGUCCGCCUAACCGCGUGCACUGAUGCGGCCGGAUCUUUCCUUCUGGCUAACCUCAUGCCCUUUACUGGGUGUGCUGGGGAUCCAGGACUUUUACUUUGAAAAAAUUAGAGUGUUCAAAGCAGGCCUUUGCUCGAAUACAUUAGCAUGGAAUAAUAGAAUAGGACGGCGGUUCUAUUUUGUUGGUUUCUAGAGCCACCGUAAUGAUUAAUAGGGAUAGUCGGGGGCAUCAGUAUUCAAUUGUCAGAGGUGAAAUUCUUGGAUUUAUUGAAGACUAACUACUGCGAAGUUUUUUCCCCAAACCUC